This 550-nucleotide ribosomal RNA is filed under the name uncultured bacterium. Its description in RNAcentral is "bacterial SSU rRNA". It matches the Rfam family "Bacterial small subunit ribosomal RNA", at positions 777 to 1333 of the family's 1533-position model. The record is from RNAcentral.
AAUAGAUACCCGGGUAGUCCACGCCGUAAACGAUGAAUACUAGGUGUCGGAGGGUACCACCUUCGGUGCCGCAGCAAACGCAAUAAGUAUUCCGCCUGGGGAGUACGGUCGCAAGAUUAAAACUCAAAGGAAUUGACGGGGACCCGCACAAGCAGCGGAGCAUGUGGUUUAAUUCGAAGCAACGCGAAGAACCUUACCUAGACUUGACAUCUCCUGAAUUACUCGUAACGGAGGAAGCCCUUCGGGGCAGGAAGACAGGUGGUGCAUGGUUGUCGUCAGCUCGUGUCGUGAGAUGUUGGGUUAAGUCCCGCAACGAGCGCAACCCUUAUUGUUAGUUGCUACCAUUAAGUUGAGCACUCUAACGAGACUGCCGCGGUUAACGUGGAGGAAGGUGGGGAUGACGUCAAAUCAUCAUGCCCCUUAUGUCUAGGGCUACACACGUGCUACAAUGGCCGGUACAAUAAGAUGCAAUCCCGUGAGGGGAGCUAAACUCAAAAGCCGGUCCCAGUUCGGAUUGUAGGCUGAAACUCGCCUACAUGAAGUUGGAGUU